CUGAGGCCCGAGCGCCCGACCCAGACACCCGCCCCAGAAAACCCAGGAGCGAGUAGGGGGCGGCGCCGGAAGGAGCGGGCGGGGGGCGUGGGGGUCGUGGGCCGUCGGGGUGGAGACGUAUUAGAUGUGACGCCGCGCCCGGGGUAGCAGCAGGCGGACGCGUGCCCGCGUGGCGAGCGGAUCCCGGCUGCUGCGGCUUAGGGAGGCGGCCCUCCCGAGAGGGCGGCCGCAGAGGCAUCCACCCUCACCCCCGAUCCGCACGGACCGCGGCUCCCCGCGCUCUAGGGCGGGCGGAGAGGAAGCGGCCGAACAGCUCGAGGCUGGGGCUCGCGGCGCGGCGCGUGCCGCGGGAGGGAGGCUGGGGGGCCGGGCCGGGGCCGCGCCCGAGCGCGUCGAGGCCGGGCCGGGGCGCGGCGGCUCCCCGCGCGGCUCCAGGGGCUCGGGGACCCCGCCAGGGCCUUGGUGGGGCCAUG
RNAcentral lists this non-coding RNA (473 nucleotides) under Ovis aries (sheep). RNAcentral describes it as "FGF-2 internal ribosome entry site (IRES)". It matches the Rfam family "FGF-2 internal ribosome entry site (IRES)". Rfam says of the family: This family represents the fibroblast growth factor 2 (FGF-2) internal ribosome entry site (IRES). The record is from Rfam by way of RNAcentral. Lineage: Eukaryota; Metazoa; Chordata; Mammalia; Artiodactyla; Bovidae.